Molecule: unclassified non-coding RNA, 156 nt
Filed under: uncultured Xylariales
Lineage: Eukaryota; Fungi; Ascomycota; Sordariomycetes; Xylariales
Description: sequence contains ITS1
Source: RNAcentral
CCGAGUUAUCACAACUCCAAACCCAUGUGAAUCAUACCUUUUGUUGCCUCGGCGGCUGAUGAGGAGCGGCGUUCGCGCCCUCCCCUUCUGCCGCCGGUGGACACCCAAACUCUUUUGCAUUUUAUGUCAAUCUGAGUAGACUAUAUAAAUAAGUCA